AUGCCGGUGAGCAGGAUCGCCAUCGGCGCCCCGGGGGAGCUGUCCCACCCGGACACCUUCCGCGCCGGCGUCGCCGAGUUCAUCUCCAUGCUCAUCUUCGUCUUCGCCGGCUCAGGCUCCGGCAUGGCCUUCGGCAAGCUGACUGACGGCGGCGCGACGACGCCGGCGGGGCUGAUCGCGGCGGCGCUGGCGCACGCGUUCGCGCUCUUCGUGGCCGUGUCCGUGGGCGCCAACAUCUCGGGCGGGCACGUGAACCCGGCCGUCACAUUCGGCGCCUUCGUGGGCGGCAACAUCAGCCUGCUCAAGGCGGUGGUGUACUGGGUGGCGCAGCUGCUCGGCUCCGUCGUGGCCUGCCUCCUCCUCAAGAUCGCCACCGGCGGCGAGGCCGUGGGCGCCUUCUCGCUCUCCGCCGGCGUCGGCGUCUGGAACGCCGUGGUCUUCGAGAUCGUCAUGACCUUCGGGCUCGUCUACACGGUGUACGCCACGGCGGUCGACCCCAAGCGCGGCGACCUCGGGGUCAUCGCGCCCAUCGCCAUCGGCUUCAUCGUCGGCGCCAACAUCCUCGCCGGCGGCGCCUUCGACGGCGCCUCCAUGAACCCCGCCGUCUCCUUCGGCCCCGCUGUCGUCACCGGCGUCUGGGAGAACCACUGGGUGUACUGGCUCGGCCCCUUCGCCGGCGCCGCCAUCGCCGCCCUCGUCUACGACAUCUGCUUCAUCGGCCAGCGGCCCCACGAGCAGCUCCCCACCGCCGACUACUGA
This 759-nucleotide ribosomal RNA is filed under the name Triticum aestivum (bread wheat). Its description in RNAcentral is "partial small subunit ribosomal RNA". Lineage: Eukaryota; Viridiplantae; Streptophyta; Magnoliopsida; Poales; Poaceae. The record is from RNAcentral.